AGGGAUGUAUUUAAUAAUAAUAACUGAAUUGCAAUCAGUAGGUGUUAAUUUUAACCAUUCUUA
Molecule: transfer RNA, 63 nt
Filed under: Cicadettana calliope
Lineage: Eukaryota; Metazoa; Arthropoda; Insecta; Hemiptera; Cicadidae
Description: tRNA-Ala
Source: RNAcentral